ACACAAUCCUAGAAGUGUUCUGUUAAACAGAGGUAUCAACCCUUAGGAAGUAUUACAGUCAUAUGUAGAUUUUAUGUAAGUAUCAUUUAGCAUAUACUAUUUUAUUUUUCAAAAUGAUUAAUGGACAUGACCAAUUACUUUACAUGAUGGGUGAGUCCUACUGGUGCAUUUAAUUAUUUAUUAAUAGAUUUUUUUUUUCUUGAGAGAUUAGAGCUAGUGUUAGAAGGUAUCACCCUCUAUAGGUCAAUUAUAAAUGAGACAACAUAUCCAGUUGUAACAAUGCAUCAAAAUCAAGAGCCUGGUCUAAGUUGUAGAAGAAUAGGGCAGGCAGACAAUUCUGACCCCCGUAAUAGGUCCUGUUUGAUCUUUAUAACCAAAUCUUACGUUUGUGGCAAUGCAUAUAAUAGUUCUGCUUUCAGUCACUUCUGAAUCUAGGCAUCCUAGGCUUCUUGCAGGAAAUUGAAGAAUAAAGUGACAGAAGGCAAUUGCCCUCUAAGGACCUGUUUUAGUCCGUUUUCAUGCUGCUGAUAAAGACAUACUCCAGACUGGGCAGUUUACAAAAGAAAGAUGUUUAAUGGACUUAAAAUUCCACGGGGCUGGGGAGGCCUCACAGUCAUGGCAGAAGGUGAAAGGCACGUCUCCCAUGGCUGCAGAUAAGAGAACAGAGCUUAUGAAGGGAAACUCUGCUUUAUAAAGCCAUCAGAUCUCGUGAGACUUAUUCACUAUCACAAGAACAGCAUGGAAAAGAUCUGCUCCCCAGGAUUCAAUUACCUUCUACCAGGUCCCUCCCACAAUAUGUGGGAAUUCAAGAUGAGAUUUGGGUGGGGACACAGCCAAACCAUAUCAGGACCCAUAAGAAAUGGUACCUCAUAUUUCAAGGAAAGGUCCAGUAAACUUUCUGUGUCAGAUUGCUUUAUAUGUUAGUCCAUCUCUGCCUACUGGUAGUUUUAAAAACAUAUUUUAGAGGAUUACGUGGUUAUUUUUACUUUUUACAUCUGUGUGCCACUCUGGGGUUGCCCUGCUCCCUGGGCGCCUGGACUGCACAAUCAGAGAUACAGUCUGAAAAAGCCAUCAUCUGGGAGCAUCUGGCUGCAGGGACUGAAGGUGGUAAAAGCAAAUUGGCCAUCUGCUGGGGCUGGUAUAGACACAGAGAUGAUACUGGAUAAUAUUCAGAUUGAUGUUUUACCCCAAGGGUGCUUGGAGAGGUUUUGUUUUGCAUGUUUUUCGGCAGACUUGGUUUAAAAAUUCAUGAAUGCACCUGGUUGGUUGUUUCUACCCUCUGUUUUUCACGUAUUCUGGCACAGCUAAAAAAACUCCUCAGCAAGAGUCUAAAUUGGAAAGGGAUUGUAUUCAGAGUUUAGAAGAAAAUCUAUGUGGUUUUCAUGAAAAUCACCUAAGUAUAGAUGUUGGGGUCAAGAUUUCCAAGAAUUAACAGCAUCAUGUAGUUUAGUUUUCAGUCUUAGAGAAAUUUAGCCAAAUGAUAUAUUCGAAAAAA
This 1495-nucleotide long non-coding RNA is filed under the name Macaca fascicularis (crab-eating macaque). RNAcentral describes it as "lncRNA (ENSMFAG00000051378.1)". The record is from RNAcentral. Lineage: Eukaryota; Metazoa; Chordata; Mammalia; Primates; Cercopithecidae.